This 497-nucleotide ribosomal RNA is filed under the name uncultured bacterium. RNAcentral's name for it is "partial 16S ribosomal RNA". It matches the Rfam family "Bacterial small subunit ribosomal RNA", at positions 28 to 507 of the family's 1533-position model. The record is from RNAcentral.
GAUGAACGCUGGCGGCGUGCCUAAUACAUGCAAGUCGAGCGAACAGACGAGGAGCUUGCUCCUCUGACGUUAGCGGCGGACGGGUGAGUAACACGUGGAUAACCUACCUAUAAGACUGGGAUAACUUCGGGAAACCGGAGCUAAUACCGGAUAAUAUAUUGAACCGCAUGGUUCAAUAGUGAAAGACGGUUUUGCUGUCACUUAUAGAUGGAUCCGCGCCGCAUUAGCUAGUUGGUAAGGUAACGGCUUACCAAGGCGACGAUGCGUAGCCGACCUGAGAGGGUGAUCGGCCACACGGGAACUGAGACACGGUCCAGACUCCUACGGGAGGCAGCAGUAGGGAAUCUUCCGCAAUGGGCGAAAGCCUGACGGAGCAACGCCGCGUGAGUGAUGAAGGUCUUCGGAUCGUAAAACUCUGUUAUUAGGGAAGAACAAAUGUGUAAGUAACGAUGCACGUCUUGACGGUACCUAAUCAGAAAGCCACGGCUAACUACGUG